UUAUAUAUUCGCACCAAUUUAGUUAUAUAUUUAAUAGUUACUGCCUUUUAAUUAUUUAAUAUAUAUUUAUUAUUUCAUAAUAUGUAAAAAUAUUUAAUACAUAAAAUAAUUUAUAUGUAUAAUGUUGAUCCCGCGCUCUUAAUCUAGUAGUAUGUAUUUGUUUUUAAACAGAUGAACCUUGACCAUUUUUUUUUUUAAAAAAAUACGUAAUAUAAGCCCUGUUCGGGAACGCGCUAGGCGCUAGUCGGGUGGUCAGGUUGGGCCUAGCGUCUAAAAAGAAAAUCGGGAAUUAAUUGAAAAUUAUGCGGGGCGAAAUUUUUAGAUUGUCUAAUAUGUUAUAAAACAUGUUAAUCUUUAAUUGUGUAUAACAUUAAUACAUUUUCCUGUUUAAGAUUGUAUAAAACACACAAAUAGAAUAUAUAAACUUAAUAUAGUGUAAUUUUCAUCAAAAUUAUGAAUAUAAAUGAUAUUUAUAAAAUUUUAGAUCAAAUAAAUAAAUAAAAAUAUUAUUAAAAAUAAAAUAAAUAAUUAAAAAAUAAUUAAAAAAAUAGAUUAGGCGGCCGCCUCGGCGGCUAGGCAGUCAUUUAGGCGGUCUAGGCGGAGAAAAUCGGAUAUCCGAUUUUUUAAACCGAUUUGGCAUAAAUCGGGGUGGAAAAGUGACGCGUAGCGUCCACGCGGCCGCCCAGACGGCUAGGCUGCCGAUUUUUACAUCAAGGAAUAUAAGUAUACCAUUGAUCAACGCGAACAUUAACUUUUAGUUUAAAGCUUGAUCCAUUUAAUUAAAUUCCUUUUCAGUUAAGAUCUACUUCGAUAGAAGAGGCUAACGGCCUCUCUUCUUGGUUCACAUUACGGAGAGGUGACCGUCGGGUAUGAUCUCUGUAACUCAGGUCGGCUGAUGUACGAAAGACAAGGUAAGAAUAUGACAAACCUAUUAUGAUUGGGCCUCAAAUGUCUGUAAAGCCUAAACGAAUUUCACAAACGGGUUAAGGCCGUAAGCUAUUCUAAGGCUGGCCCUUUAAUUUUUCUAGAAGCCCAAAACCAUUUUGUUUUAAAAUCAACAAAUGGUAGGGUGAAAAGUGUCCUAAAAUACCCUAUGGAAACAGAAGAGUAUUUUAUAGUGUUAGAUUACACGGACAAAUGUUCUCUUGUUCUGGACAAAUGUGACGAUAAGCUUGUCCGAUUUCUUUUAAGAUAUGUUUUUUUUUAUCAGCUGACUAAGAUAUGUUUUCUAAAUGACUGUUUACUCCAACUGGCAAGGAGAGAAAUGGGCGACGUCACGGACAGACUCCUCGAUCACCAACUAUACUGCAAGGCCAUAUUGAUAAACUCGCAAGGAAUUGAAUUUCCACACUCCAAAUGAUGGGAAUAAAGCGUUAUGAGAAUGGGUUGGGAAGACAUCUUGCUUAUCGAUGACAUAUAGAUUUUCUUAAAAUUUAUUUUUUUCUACAACCAAAAUUGCAGUCGUUGUAAAACAUCUUUUGAUACGGAAAAAAUUAACAUUUAUUUUUAAAAUAUUAUGCUUCUCACAUUGAAUUACUUUACAUUUUUAAUGUAUUUUCAGUUCACUUGUAUGAUCUGAUGGAUUUGGAAGACACUAAGGUUUUAUCAUACAUACAAUAAAUAAAAAAGGAAUAUGAGCAUCAGAUAGAGGGUCAUGUCGGAUGUAAAAAUCAUUCAAUCAAGUUUUUACGUUUUGCCACGUAAUCAAGUGAUUUCAGAUGUUGGGCUUAAAUUUCUUUACGAGCUCGCAUGUUAAUCUGAAUGGCCCAGGAAGCCCAUUUUAUUGAAAGCAUCGUGACCUUAUUCUUCACCGACGCGAGAUCUCUUUUUCUCAUUUUGUCCAAACCCUAAUUUUUCUACAACGAUUCGUGAACCCUUUGCUCUUCCUCUUCUUCGUUUCCGUUUCACGAAUCUGAUCUAUGAUCAAUCAAUACACUCUCCACUUCUUUAUCCCUUUAAUCUCAUAAACUUACCAGGCGGGAUCUAUGAACAAGAUGAGUGUAUCUCCGAAAGGGGUAUGAUUUUUUAAAAGCAUAAACAAUGUGGAGAGAAGCCUCAAGGAGUAUACUGUAGGCAACUGGAUCGAUUAUACGAGGUUUUCGGAUCUGAAACUGGGGGCAGUGUAAAAAGCUUCUUUGAAGAGCAUAAUAUUGGAUUCAGUCACUCAGAAAUAAUCAGUUACAUAAGGCUUUCCAUUCUCUUAUUGAAACGAAGCUGUGGAUGAAGGUAUUGUUGUCUGAGGUGGACGCAAUCAGCUAAGACUUGCUUCGAAAGUGGAUGCCACUAAAGAGAUUCUUAGGAAACAAUGAAUAAAAGAUUGGAGCUGACAUUGUUAAGUAAGACAGAGCUACCCGUUGAAGUAGGUGUUAAAGGAAGCGUUGUCAGCAAAGAGGUACUCUCUAUCGACCACCCAAAACACGGUUGCAACGUUGCAACUGGCACAUACAAAGAUCUUUUGUCAGCAGGAGCCAUUGAUCCAACCAAAAUGAAAAUGAUCAUUACUUAAUUACAGAUUGAAGUACUCUGUUCUGCAUGCUAACCGAGUGUUUUUCUUAGGGUUGUGAGAUGUUUCUUACAGUAUGCUUCAACCAUAGCUAAAGCAUCUUUGAUGUCCAAGUGUGUUGUUGUCGACAUCAAGGAGCCUGACUCAGCAGCUUCUGCUGAUUUUAGAGCACGUGAUGGUGGACAAAAAGAUUUACAUGAUUUGCAAUGUGUAAUGAUCAACAGAUUUUAGUGACACAGAAAUUGGUGUUGCACAAAAAAGAAAGAGAGAGUUACAUAUUUAGACACAUUUGUCUUUCUUCUUACUCAAUUAGACACUUUAUGUUUGUAGGACACAAUUGCCGGUUUUGAUGCAAUAUUGAGACCAUAAUACCCUUCUGCUGAGGAAACAAGAUUGGCUGCCGUAAGAGAAAACAUAAAGGUAGUUUAUUAGUUUAGUUGACAUAUUAAUUGGUUUUGUAUUCCUCCAACAUAUUUUAUUGGUCACUAUUGUAAAUUAUAAUGUAUAAAAUUUUAUAUUUAUGCGUAAAAACAAAUUAUGAUU
Molecule: long non-coding RNA, 3046 nt
Organism: Brassica napus (rape)
Lineage: Eukaryota; Viridiplantae; Streptophyta; Magnoliopsida; Brassicales; Brassicaceae
Exons: 5
Source: RefSeq, a predicted model, not a curated record